UUCCGCUCUUGAAAAAGCCUUGAUUCGCACUGGAAAAACGUACUGAAUGAACUAAAUUACAGUCAUUAUUCGCAAACUUCGAUGUUCUUUUGAAAUCAAAGAACAAGAACAAUCAAAGAAGUCAUCUGACAAUCAGACGAUCCAAAACAGCUAAAUCAAAAUUGCAGUUUUUUUCCAGAGGCCCGGAUAUGCCUCGAGGUAAUCAAUAAUACUCAGAAGUACACGUGGCGGGUGAAUACCGCGCCUGUCCCUUAUUCAGACCGAUGCAUGACAUCGUUUUCAGCCAAUCAUCGUCAUCGCAAGUAGGCCCUCGAAACUCAAUGACGACGUUUGAUUGGCCAAGAGUUGGAGUUUGCAGCAUCGUUUAUAAUCUUUCGGAAAGUUCUCAAAGGAACCAAAAGUUGUUCCUAGGACAGAAUAUUCAGAGAGUGUUGGAUGAAACACAAGUCGGGACAAGCUGCUGAAUAAUUUGCACACGGGCAACCAAUCGGUUGGACUUCAUUACAAAGAAUUUUUCACAAAUUUGGGUCACACCGUAAGUUAUAAGGGGAAUCAUGUCCAUCAUCGCUUCCGUAAGGACACACUGCAUAUGGAGCAGCGGGAGGCUAAAUGGAAAUCCACGUGAACUGGCCACUGCAUCUAGAAUAACAAGCCAUUACCGCGGAGCCAUCAUGGGUGCGUUCGAUUAGCUUACACGUGUAAGUCAACUUACACGAGAGCGUUCAUUUAGCCAUCAUGUGAUCUUCGUGCCCGCCCUGGUGUCACCCACCACUACCCCGGCUGGCGAGCGGUUCUCUGGAGGCUGCCCGAGGGUAAUGAUAUCACUGAUGGACUGGUCGAGCAUGGACAUGAUGGAACGAGGCGGGGGCUUGACUUUUUCCCAGAAUGCCUUGGCAAAUACACAGCAGCGUUCGAUCAGCCUCAUUUCGUGGCUUCCCUUGCGUGUAACACUGGUGUAUUCAGGGAAGCUAAUCGAACGCACCCCUUUCAAGCGCACACGCGCGCGUUGCAUUCCUUUCCGCCCGAUCGGGUGCCGUGAGCGGCCAGAGUGUGCGCGCGCUUAAGUUGAGGCAGGUGAGAGAGUACAGUGGCCCCGCAGGAGCAGCGUCACUUAAAGAUUUGUCAGCAAUCAAAACAGGGGAACCAAUAUUACAUUCAUGCUGCAUUAAUUUUGUCACAUCCACUCUUCAACGAAAAAAAAAUGAAAUUGGUUUGGUCACAAAUAGAAGCUGUCAUUCAUCAUGCCGAGGAAGAAAUGCAGAGAGCAGUAACUUUAUGAGCAUUUUAGCACUUUCAGUAAGAUCUCUUUUCAAGGAUGGUUUUUCCACAUUUUGAGCUUGAAAACGAAAAAAUGUAGCAUUCUAGCCACUUAGUUCUAGACCCUUAACUGACCUCCAGUAGCAUUAUUUUAUCGGGGUAUUGGCUAAAGAACUUUGGACACAAAAGGCCAGUGCAAUGUUCACGUCAUUGUGUGUAGUUCUUGUGCUUUUUGUUCGCAGCUUGUAAUGUCACUUCAAAAUACAUGCUGUAGACCCAGGCGCAGGGUUUUCUUUAAAUAAAAAACUGUCCAAUGAGAAAAUUUGAGUUGCCAGUUUCAACCGAAAAUUCCCAAAUGGUCAAGCAUUAAUCCCUGCAGCACCUGACACUAUUUGUCGGGAAAGUAUGGAAAAUUUGAGGUUUUCAAAACGUGAAUUUCCAAAAACAAAAGUCAGAUAUAUUCUUGCAUUUAAAAGGAGUAGCUCAUUCCACACAGCACGUUCCCAAGAAGAAUUUGACUUCAUGGACCCGUAAAAUACUGCGGAUUAUAGCAUUUAUAGGGACCUGAUGGUUCUGAUGGUCUUGGGUUCUCGAUGGAAGCGAUUUUCCAUACUUGAAAGUGCAACUGUAAUGCGGUGUAAUCAAUACGUGCUAUGAAACAGGAGGACAAACAAUAUUAUUCAUGAGUUGAAGGACGUUCGAAGGGCGGAGUAAACGCUGGGCUUCAUGCAUUUACAAGUCGUUCAAAUACAAGCACAAGUUGUUUUGCUAACGGCGAAAUAUUUUGUAAUCUAGUCAAACUAGGCCAUUGUUAAUGACUUAAUUUACAUGUAACUAAUUUUACUUGUCUCCUGGACAAUUCAGGUCCUCUCCAGGCAACUUCAGUUUCUUAAUCCGACUGAUUUCGCAGCCUCCAACACUAGCGAGCCUGUCACAAAGUAGCAGUUUCUCUUCUGAUGCCGUUAGCUUGUAACCAUCUACUCUUGUAUGCCAACUUAUUCUAGAGUUCCCAGUCACUAACUUAGUUUUGACAACAAAAAGCUUUCAGAAGAAAGAGUCAAUUUUUUCAUCGACCAGUCAAAAGUUCUGCUACAAAUCUCAUAAAAACUCGGGAAGCAAGAUGCACAGCAAACCAGUGCAAACUGAAGAGUGGCCGGUUCUAGCUAACACCCCCAGUGCAGUUGUUGGAAUUGGGUGUCGCACCACUGGAGGUGUCAACUCCCCCAAAGGAAGUCUGGGGUGUCUCGAUUCGGGGUAACGACAUAAUCAGCGAGGUUCCUCCAGAUAGAUGCCAAUAAGAAACAUUCCCUGACCCUGAUGAAUCUAACCACAGCAAGCUGGUGAAACACAAGGUGGCUUCAUCGACAGCAUUGACAAGCUUGACACCUUCUUCUCGAUUUCACCUGAGAAGCAAGUUCCCUUGUCAACUUUUACAUGGGCAUCGCACGCUCUGCUUUUGCCAACUGCAUACCCUUACGCCUUCGAUUUUCGUGGUCCCUCCUACGCAGUAUAGACACAGUCUAGUCUUCGUCCAUGACUGCCACGCACAAGCACUAGUGCGGUCAGAGUUGUCAAGAGAGGUUAUUUUAUGCAGAAAACUUAUUCUUGCCUACACCAGAAACGUCGACUGUGACAGUAUGGUACUCACGGCUGAUAUCAUCAUGCCGCGCGCAAACAAGUGGCAACCAGCCUUAGCAAAGACACUGCCAACGUCAAUCGUCUCAGACGUUUUUGAGAAGAGCAAUCUUCGUCAGACAUAUGGGGAUGAGAUGGAUGCCACUGAUAUCAAGCAGGUGUCCUUAAUGAUGUUGAGGGUGUCUGCGUCUCUUACAUCCGACACGCCCUUGAUACAGUACCACCUGAGGAAAGGGAACAAUCGGUUUCAAACCAUUGUCAAGAAUGCUAGCAGCAAAGUUGCCGAGUAUACAGAAGCUGCCAAGCACAAGAUCCGAGUCAUGGUGGUUCAGGCUGCAGAUUGGAGGACUGACUCGCUUCAUCGCUGAUUCAUUAAACGAUUUGGGAACUGAAGAGAAAAUGGAGAGUCUUCAUUGAUGUGAGUACCACCUUCCAGCAAACUCAGGAGAACCUCCAGGAGUUUCCAUUUAUCCAGUGCAAACAGGUGCACAUCGAGGAGGAUGUCAAAGAUUAAGCAUUUUUUCCCUGGUAGAUUCAAUGUUAUAGUCUGUAUCGAUACCCUAUAGGCAUAUACAGAUUUCAAGCGAAGCAUGGGGUUCAUGGCUGACCUAAUCACUGCAAAUAGGUUGAUGUUUAUCAUGGAGGGAACCAACACACACUACCUGACUGAUCUGUGGUUUGGGGCUCUUGAUGUCUGUUGGGUUGUUUGAUGACUUUCGUAAGGAACGCUGCUGGAUGUCUCUCCAAGCCUGGUUGGAAACCAUGGAGAAAGUUGGUCUCAGAGAAAUUUCAUCAGCAUCCUCGCCAAAUGAAUUCAUCCACUGUGUCCUUGUAGGAAGAAAGCCUUCAGUCUCACAGCAUCACCGAAUGAUCAUCCAGCAAGACAAGAUAGUGCAAGACAGCAAAACAGGUUCUCAUCAGAGUUCCUUCCUCACUGUCAUGGUGGGGUCCAGAUCAGCAACCUUUCCGAGGCCAACUCUCCGGGUCGUGUUCUCAGCGAGCAUACAGACAGCCCAACAGAGGUGAUGUACAUCUGCAACAAAGACGACUCCCGGCCGCAUGCGCUCUUAAAACUCUUUAAGGCAAUAUAAUCAAACUCUACAAUUGUAAAAUGAAUAUUGGUUGUCACAAAGGGAGGAAAUACGGAUUCAUCUCGUCCAAAUGGAUUCCUGGCUGUUGGCUAAACCAGGGCAGUAGGCAGAUUCCAGGCGUGCCCGUUUUUCUGUAGAUUUGAAUCCUCAAAACUCUCUAGCAGAAAAUGUCCAUGAAGUUUUGAAGCUGAUGGACGACUCUGAUCAUGAGGAACAAGAGCUUGUAAUCCGAUAGAAUCUGAGGUUUGUUCGACGGGUUAUGAAUCAAGACCUAGUGGGGCAAGACCACACAACCCAUGGAAUGGUGAUUGGAGCAGCAUUAGGAAGCAAAGCAGGCAAAGGGGGCUUCUGUUUGGGAGGUCCCAUCAGGAUAUGUUAAGAUUAAAGUCAAGACAGCCCCUUAAACUUCAAGACAAGGAAGAGACUGUCAGAGUUCUGGCCAUGAACAUCAGCUACACAUUGAUGAGUUCUUGUAGCAGUGGGCCAGCUUCUAUCUAGGAAGAUCUCCCGUAUAUCUGCGUUGCACAUCAGGACUGGGGAGCGACACAGCAAUUCUGGUACAAGAACACGCUGAAAUUCCACCGCUUGGCGGCACACAACUCCAAAUUAGCCAGUGGGGAGG
RNAcentral lists this long non-coding RNA (4605 nucleotides) under Acanthaster planci (crown-of-thorns starfish). RNAcentral describes it as "uncharacterized LOC110978943, transcript variant X5". The record is from RNAcentral. Lineage: Eukaryota; Metazoa; Echinodermata; Asteroidea; Valvatida; Acanthasteridae.